RNAcentral lists this ribosomal RNA (506 nucleotides) under uncultured bacterium. RNAcentral's name for it is "partial 16S ribosomal RNA". It matches the Rfam family "Bacterial small subunit ribosomal RNA", at positions 29 to 523 of the family's 1533-position model. The record is from RNAcentral.
AGUGAACGCUGGCGGUAGGCCUAACACAUGCAAGUCGAACGGCAGCACAGAGGAGCUUGCUCCUUGGGUGGCGAGUGGCGGACGGGUGAGGAAUACAUCGGAAUCUACUCUGUCGUGGGGGAUAACGUAGGGAAACUUACGCUAAUACCGCAUACGACCUACGGGUGAAAGCAGGGGAUCUUCGGACCUUGCGCGAUUGAAUGAGCCGAUGUCGGAUUAGCUAGUUGGCGGGGGAAAGGCCCACCAAGGCGACGAUCCGUAGCUGGUCUGAUAGGCUGAUCAGCCACACUGGAACUGGGACACGGUCCAGACUCCUACGGGAGGCAGCAGUGGGGAAUAUUGGACCAGGGGCGCAAGCCUGAUCCAGCCAUACCGCGUGGGUGAAGAAGGCCUUCGGGUUGUAAAGCCCUUUUGUUGGGAAAGAAAUCCAUCUGGUUAAUACCCGGGUGGGAUGACGGUACCCAAAGAAUAAGCACCGGCUAACUUCGCGCCAGCCGCCGCCGUAA